CCUGAGAAGGAGCCAUGGGAUUAACAAGGAAGGGAUUGGCAAUGGGCGUCCUGGGGAGGCAGGCAAAGUUGCCUCCCCAGCAGCCAUCACUCCCCACCUCCUGUGGGAGCUCCGCCUCUCUGACUGUGAAACCCAUAGACUCCCCUGAUGAGGGCAGGGGCAUGGCACCCAAGGUUGGCCAAUGGGACGCCCAGGGGGAGUCUCCAGGGAGACUUCCAAGCAAGGUUUUCCUCCCUGAGAUAACGACUUUAUAGUCCACUUACUCCUUCCUUCGGGCACUGUGAGACCAUGUGGUCCUUGGAGCUGCAGCAGCCAUCGGACUAUGUGAGGAAAACGGCCACGG
Long non-coding RNA from Pipistrellus kuhlii (Kuhl's pipistrelle), 343 nucleotides. RefSeq lists it as uncharacterized. The record is from RefSeq and is a predicted model, not a curated record. The transcript has 2 exons. NCBI's taxonomy places the organism in Eukaryota, Metazoa, Chordata, Mammalia, Chiroptera, Vespertilionidae.